GAUGAACGCUGGCGGCGUGCCUAAUACAUGCAAGUCGAGCGGUAAGGCCACUUCGGUGGUACACGAGCGGCGGACGGCUGAGUAACACGUAGGAACGUACCCCAAAUUGAGGGAUAAGCACCAGAAAUGGCGUCUAAUACCGCAUGUGAUCUUCGGAUUAAAGCUACGGCGGAUUGGGAACGGCCUGCGCAUGAUUAGUUUGUUGGGGAGGUAAUGGCUCACCAAGACUACGAUCAUUAGCUGGUCUGAGAGGAUGAUCAGCCAGACUGGGACUGAGAACGGCCCAGACUCCUACGGGAGGCAGCAGUGGGGAAUAGUGGACAAUGGGCGAAAGCCUGAUCCAGCAAUGCCGCGUGAGUGAUGAAGGCCUUAGGGUUGUAAAGCUCUUUUACCCGGGAUGAUAAUGACAGUACCGGGAGAAUAAGCUCCGGCUAACUCCGUGCCAGCCGCCGCAGUAA
RNAcentral lists this ribosomal RNA (458 nucleotides) under uncultured bacterium. RNAcentral describes it as "partial 16S ribosomal RNA". It matches the Rfam family "Bacterial small subunit ribosomal RNA", at positions 28 to 523 of the family's 1533-position model. The record is from RNAcentral.